GCUGGGCAUGGUGGCGCAUGCCUGUAAUCCCAGCUACUCAGGAGGCUGAGGCAGGAGAAUUGCCUGAACCCAGGAGGUGGAGGUUGUAGUGAGCGGAGAUCGCGCCACUGCACUCUAGCCUGGGUAACAAGAGUGAAACUCCGUGUCAAAAAAAAAAAAAAAAGAAAACAUAACAUGCUAAAACUCCAGGCUGGAGUGCAUGGCGUGAUCUCAGCUCACUUCAACCUCCACCUCCUGGGUUCAAGCCACUCUCCUGUCUCA
RNAcentral lists this signal recognition particle RNA (261 nucleotides) under Saimiri boliviensis boliviensis (Bolivian squirrel monkey). RNAcentral describes it as "Metazoan signal recognition particle RNA (ENSSBOG00000002471.1)". It matches the Rfam family "Metazoan signal recognition particle RNA". Rfam says of the family: The signal recognition particle (SRP) is a universally conserved ribonucleoprotein. It is involved in the co-translational targeting of proteins to membranes. The eukaryotic SRP consists of a 300-nucleotide 7S RNA and six proteins: SRPs 72, 68, 54, 19, 14, and 9. Lineage: Eukaryota; Metazoa; Chordata; Mammalia; Primates; Cebidae. The record is from RNAcentral.